AGUGAACGCUGUCGGUAGGCCUAACACAUGCGAGUCGAACGGCAGCACAGUAAGAGCUUGCUCUUACGGGUGGCGAGUGGCGGACGGGUGAGGAAUACAUCGGAAUCUACUUUUUCGUGGGGGAUAACGUAGGGAAACUUACGCUAAUACCGCAUACGACCUACGGGUGAAAGCAGGGGAUCUUCGGACCUUGCGCGAUUGAAUGAGCCGAUGUCGGAUUAGCUAGUUGGCGGGGUAAAGGCCCACCAAGGCGACGAUCCGUAGCUGGUCUGAGAGGAUGAUCAGCCACACUGGAACUGAGACACGGUCCAGACUCCUACGGGAGGCAGCAGUGGGGAAUAUUGGACAAUGGGCGCAAGCCUGAUCCAGCCAUACCGCGUGGGUGAAGAAGGCCUUCGGGUUGUAAAGCCCUUUUGUUGGGAAAGAAAAGCAGCAGGUUAAUACCCCGCUGUUCUGACGGUACCCAAAGAAUAAGCACCGGCUAACUUCGUG
Molecule: ribosomal RNA, 492 nt
Filed under: uncultured bacterium
Lineage: Bacteria
Description: partial 16S ribosomal RNA
Rfam family: Bacterial small subunit ribosomal RNA
Source: RNAcentral